RNAcentral lists this transfer RNA (75 nucleotides) under bacterium. Its description in RNAcentral is "tRNA-Gln". It matches the Rfam family "tRNA". From Rfam's summary of the family: Transfer RNA (tRNA) molecules are approximately 80 nucleotides in length. Their secondary structure includes four short double-helical elements and three loops (D, anti-codon, and T loops). The record is from RNAcentral. RNAcentral also lists the same sequence under 1 other name.
UGCCCGGUCGUCUAAUUGGCAGGACAGCGGCUUCUGGUGCCGUAUGUGGGGGUUCGAGUCCUCCCCGGGCAACCA